UAGGUAACCUGCCUUGUAGCGGGGGAUAACUAUUGGAAACGAGUAGCUAAUACCGCAUAACAAUGGAUGACACAUGUCAUUUAUUUGAAAGGGGGCAAUUGCUCCACUACAAGAUGGACCUGCGUUGUAUUAGCUAGUAGGUGAGGUAAUGGCUCACCUAGGCGACGAUACAUAGCCGACCUGAGAGGGUGAUCGGCCACACUGGGACUGAGACACGGCCCAGACUCCUACGGGAGGCAGCAUG
This 244-nucleotide ribosomal RNA is filed under the name uncultured bacterium. RNAcentral describes it as "partial 16S ribosomal RNA". It matches the Rfam family "Bacterial small subunit ribosomal RNA", at positions 118 to 353 of the family's 1533-position model. The record is from RNAcentral.